AAAUGAACAACGCAGGGUCCGUCAUGACCAUAAUCUGAACAAUGUAUUUGUGGUGUUAGAUUACAUUAGGAACUUUAUGUAUAUCCCUAUUUGUAAUUGAGUUAUGUGAUAUUUGUUGAUGUUUUGGUAUUGUCCGAGACGACGUGAAACUAUAUGUUUGGAGUAUUUUGUGAAUGACUGAUUAUGUGAUAAAUGAAGUAUAUGCAUGAUAUAUGAAUAUGCAUGAAUGAUGGUGAUGUAUAUGUAUAAUGUAUGAUUAUGCAUGUUUUUAUGAAGAAGUGUUUAAGUACGAUUUACUUACACUUAUAUUUUGAGUAUGUUAUCUAACUCUCUUUUAUGUGUUAUGUGCUGGACCGUUAGGGGUCCAGAUUUUACAGGAUUUUGUGGUAUUCGAUGUCGAGUCGUCGGUGAAGCUCUGCUCUGAUUGUGACACGGGAAAGGGUUUUAUAUUGUAUAUAAAGUCUAUUGUCUAGGUUGUN
Molecule: long non-coding RNA, 479 nt
Filed under: Trifolium pratense (red clover)
Lineage: Eukaryota; Viridiplantae; Streptophyta; Magnoliopsida; Fabales; Fabaceae
Description: long non-coding RNA (TPRA_LNC013203)
Source: RNAcentral